This 254-nucleotide unclassified non-coding RNA is filed under the name uncultured Patescibacteria group bacterium. RNAcentral describes it as "contains 16S-23S intergenic spacer region". It matches the Rfam family "Bacterial small subunit ribosomal RNA", at positions 524 to 776 of the family's 1533-position model. The record is from RNAcentral.
UACGUAGGGUGCAAGCGUUACCCGGAUUUAUUGGGCGUAAAGCGUUCCGCAGGCGUCCCUUUAAGUCGUGCUUCAAAUACCAGAGCUUAACUCUGGAAGGGGGCACGAUACUAUUGGGAUAGAGGAUUGUCGGGGUUACUGGAACUGUCGGUGUAGGAGUGAAAUCCGUUGAUAUCGAUAGGAACGCCAAGGGCGAAGGCAAGUAACUAGGCAAUAUCUGACGCUCAUGGACGAAAGCUAGGGUAGCGAAAGGG